UAAGGAAUAUUGGGCAAUGGGCGCAAGCCUGACCCAGCUAUGCCGCGUGCAGGAAGACGGCCUUAUGGGUUGUAAACUGCUUUUAUGCGAGACUAAAACCCUCAACGAGUUUGGGGCUUGCAGGUAUCGCAUGAAUAAGCAUCGGCUAACUCCGUGCCAGCAGCCGCGGUAAUACGGAGGAUGCGAGCGUUAUCCGGAUUUAUUGGGUUUAAAGGGUGCGCAGGCUGAUACUUAAGUCAGUGGUGAAAUACUCCGGCUCAACUGGAGUGCUGCCGUUGAUACUGGGUAUCUUGAGAGUAAUUGACGUGGGCGGAAUGUGUCAUGUAGCGGUGAAAUGCAUAGAGAUGACACAGAACACCGAUAGCGAAGGCAGCUCACGAAGUUACCUCUGACGCUCAUG
RNAcentral lists this ribosomal RNA (400 nucleotides) under uncultured bacterium. RNAcentral's name for it is "bacterial SSU rRNA". It matches the Rfam family "Bacterial small subunit ribosomal RNA", at positions 355 to 751 of the family's 1533-position model. The record is from RNAcentral.